GCAAAGGCUCUUUUAAGAGCCAACACUUGAUCUGUAGAAAGUGCUGU
Dipodomys ordii (Ord's kangaroo rat) is the source of this 47-nucleotide non-coding RNA. The record is from Rfam. NCBI's taxonomy places the organism in Eukaryota, Metazoa, Chordata, Mammalia, Rodentia, Heteromyidae.